This 85-nucleotide transfer RNA is filed under the name Candidatus Pelagibacteraceae bacterium. RNAcentral's name for it is "tRNA-Leu". It matches the Rfam family "tRNA". From Rfam's summary of the family: Transfer RNA (tRNA) molecules are approximately 80 nucleotides in length. Lineage: Bacteria; Pseudomonadati; Pseudomonadota; Alphaproteobacteria; Candidatus Pelagibacterales; Candidatus Pelagibacteraceae. The record is from RNAcentral.
GGGGCUAUGGUGGAAUUGGCAGACACGCCAGUCUUAGAAACUGGUUGCGUAAGCAGUACAAGUUCAAGUCUUGUUAGCCCCACCA